CGGCGAGCGAAGUGGGAAGGUUGUUGUGCCCAUGUCUGAAAUCUCCGUCCGGUCCUUGGCAGGGCGGCGAAUUGUGGUGUGUAGAGGCGGACUGUCCCGACGUCACCGCUCCUCGAGCCCGAAGUCGACUUGGAACGGCGUGCUUGAGAGGGUGAGAGCCCCGUAGGGCCCGGAAAUCGGGAGCGGCGGGACGAGGGUCCGGUCUCUCAGAGUCGGGUUGUUUGGGAUUGCAGCCCAAAUAGGGUGGUAGACUCCAUCCAAGGCUGAAUACGAGCGCGGGUCCGAUAGCGGACAAGUACCGUGAGGGAAAGGUGAAAAGCACUUUGAAGAGAGAGUUCAAUAGAGCGUGAAACCGUUGGGAGGGAAGCUCAGGGUGCCGAGGCGGUUGGGCGAGCGGAGUUCAUCCGGACUUCGAGAGGAGUGCGGUGCAUUUUCCGAUCGUCUAUGGUAACCGUCAGCGAGAGGUGAGCCCGUCGGUUUUCGGUCGGCGGAGGAGGUGGCGGGACUCGGUUUGCGAGAUCCGUUCGUAGAGCUCCUACCGAGCGAGCGGCGUGGCGAUCCUCUGGGAUGUUGGAGCGUCUUUUCGCUCUUGGGAAGUAGGUGCGGGUCUUCCCGUGAGGGAAGGUUGCGGGCACCGGGUGGUUGUCGUUCGGUCGUUUCGGUGGACGUGUGCGGCGGUCGGGUGAAUUCUCGUCGGUUGUGCAGUUUUCGGUUCGGGUGGUCGAGUUGCCCGGGUGGUCACGUUGCCGCGCCCAGGUCGCUGGCGUGGAGUCGGUCCCCUGUGCCCCGUCUUGAAACACGGACCAAGGAGUGCAAGUGGCACGCGAGUCCCAGGGUGGUGGUCCGGCUUCAGAGUCGGUCCGUAGCGAAAGCCCGUUCGAAAGGCAAAGCGAGAGCAAGUGCCGGAGCAAUCCGGYGGGUGCGAGAGCCGUUUCGGUUGGAACGGCGCAUCGCGGACCGAGCCAACGGUCACGCCGUGGCCGGCUUCGAGUGAGAGCGUGUCUGUUGCGACCCGAAAGAUGGUGAACUAUGCCCGAGGAGGGCGAAGCCAGGGGAAACUCUGGUGGAAGCUCGCAGCGGUUCUGACGUGCAAAUCGAUCGUGGCACUUGGGUAUAGGGGCGAAAGACUAAUCGAACCAUCUAGUAGCUGGUUCCCUCCGAAGUUUCCCUCAGGAUAGCUGGAGCCUUUAUUGGUCAGUUUCGUCGGGUAAAGCGAAUGAUUAGAGGUAUCGGGGUCGAAAGGACCUCGACCUAUUCUCAAACUUUGAAUCGGCGAGUGGGGAUGGAGCCUUGCCUGCGGGAAGGCUACCAUCGGUUCGGAAUGUAGUGGCUCUCGGUGGGCCGUUUUUGGUAAGCAGAACCGGCGAUGCGGGAUGAACCGAACGUCGGGCUAAGGCGCCGGAGUCGACGCUGAAGAGAUACCAUGAAAGGUGUUGGUUGAUCCAGACAGCAGGACGGUGGCCAUGGAAGUCGGAAUCCGCUAAGGAGUGGGUAACAACUCACCUGCCGAAUCAACUAGCCCUGAAAAUGGAUGGCGCUGAAGCGUCGCGCCUAGUUUCCCGACACCCGCGGGCAGUUGUUGGUUGCGUUUGCCCCGGGUAGUAGGAGGGCGCGGAGGUCCCAGGUCGGUAUGGUUUAGCCGUGCAGCCCGCGGCGCGAGCGCGGGUGGAGCGGCCUCCGGUGCGGAUCUUGGUGGUAGUAGCAAGUAUUCAAGGGAGGUCCUUGAAGACCGAAGUGGAGAAGGGUUCCGUGUGAACAGCAGUUGGACACGGGUGAGUCGAUCCUAAGGGAAAGGGUAGUCCCCUGUGCCUGAAGGGGCACCCGUCUCCCGGAAGGGGUUCGGUGGACGUUCGCCUCCUCGCGGGGCGUUGGGAAGUCGGGUCCGUCCGGGUGUUUGGCGUAGGUGCCGGGCCCCGAAAGGGAAUCGGGUUAACAUUCUCGAACGGGAGUGCGGAGUCGGCCUCGGCCGGUGGCGGUAACGCGACCGAACUCGGAGACGCCGGCGGGAGCCCCGGGAAGAGUUGUCUUUUCUUUUCGACGGAGGUUUCCCCUGGAAUCGGAUUGGCCGGAGAUAGGGUUUCCGGAUCCGGCAUAGCGCCACACUUGAGGUGGCGUCCGGUGCGUUCCCGACGGCCCUUGAAAAUCCGAGGGAGGGCAGGUUGGACUGUGCUGUCGCACCCCGUCGUACCCAUAACCGCAGCAGGUCUCCGAGGUGAGCAGCCUCUGGUGGAAUGGAACAAUGUAGGUAAGGGAAGUCGGCAAAAAGGAUCCGUAACUUCGGGAGAAGGAUUGGCUCUGAGGGCUGGGUCUGUCGGGCUGCCCACCGAAGCCGGGCGGAGUCGGUGGUGGACUGGCUGGAGGUGUUCGUCUCCC
Molecule: ribosomal RNA, 2373 nt
Filed under: Neopetrosia carbonaria
Lineage: Eukaryota; Metazoa; Porifera; Demospongiae; Haplosclerida; Petrosiidae
Description: eukaryotic LSU rRNA
Rfam family: Eukaryotic large subunit ribosomal RNA
Source: RNAcentral